Long non-coding RNA from Mirounga angustirostris (Northern elephant seal), 546 nucleotides. RefSeq lists it as uncharacterized. Lineage: Eukaryota; Metazoa; Chordata; Mammalia; Carnivora; Phocidae. The record is from RefSeq and is a predicted model, not a curated record. The transcript is spliced from 2 exons.
AGAGCCCGGCAGCGGCGGCGGGGCCCCUUGAGCCCGCGGCCGCGCCCCGCGCCCGCCCGCGCCCGCCGCCCCGGACCCCGGUCCUGAGGAAGCUCUCGUACUCGGCCAGGUUGUUGAAGCAGGAAAGAGGUUAAGUGGCCUUGAAAAUACCCCUGGUGAGACAAUGAUCAUGCUGACAACUCCACAAAAUCAAUCUAUGGAAUGUUUACACAAGGACUUCCAAACUACAAAUUUGUUCAGCCAAAGUUGCCAACUUGGAAACUGGCACAAAACCCUGAUUCUCCCUGGAAUUCCUGAAUUCAGAGGCAUCAUGCAGCGACCAACCUAUUAUCUCCAGGUCAAAGUACACGGGAGGAAAGGUGAGAUUUUCAAGGUUAGUGCAUUCUGUAGUUAAGAACAGGUGGUUGAGAGUAAAGUUUGGAUUCAUGUUCUGUCAUAGGUGGAAAAAGCUUGACACUUAUGCCACAAUCUAAAAAUGAUUCAUUCUGCCUAGCAUAAAAUAGUUCUUGCUUUAUAAAAAUAGCACCACGAUUAAAAAAAAAAAUG